AAUGGGUUCUAUUCCCAAACCGUGUAUACAUCCUUUGUUGCUUUGGCAGGCCGCCUUUUAGGCGUCGGCUCCGGCUGACUGCGCUUGCCAGAGGACCCAAACUCGUUUGUUUAGUGAUGUCUGAGUACUAUACAAUAGUUAAAACUUUCAACAACGGAUCUCUUGGUUCUGGCAUCGAUGAAGAACGCAGCGAAAUGCGAUAAGUAAUGUGAAUUGCAGAAUUCAGUGAAUCAUCGAAUCUUUGAACGCACAUUGCGCCCCUUGGUAUUCCGAGGGGCAUGCCUGUUCGAGCGUCAUUAUAACCACUCAAGCCUCGGCUUGGUCUUGGGGUUCGCGGUCUCGCGGCCCUUAAAAUCAGUGGCGGUGCCGUCUGGCUCUAAGCGUAGUAAUUCUCUCGCUAUAGAGUCCCGGCGGCUACCUGCCAGAACCCCCCAUUUUUUACGGUUGACCUCGGAUCAGGUAGGGAUACCCGCUGAACUUAAGCAUAUCAAUAAGCGGAGGAAAAGAAACCAACAGGGAUUGCCUCAGUAACGGCGAGUGAAGCGGCAACAGCUCAAAUUUGAAAUCUGGCUCUUUCAGGGU
RNAcentral lists this ribosomal RNA (582 nucleotides) under uncultured Hymenoscyphus. RNAcentral's name for it is "eukaryotic LSU rRNA". The stretch from base 143 to 296 matches the Rfam family "5.8S ribosomal RNA". The record is from RNAcentral. Lineage: Eukaryota; Fungi; Ascomycota; Leotiomycetes; Helotiales; Helotiaceae.